GAGACUGAAUUCCCUUAAAGUGCAAGUGAUGUUUGAGACAUUCUGCUGGAAUGGAGAACUGACCUUCAGGUUGAGGCAGCAUUUCCACAGUUCCUCCUGGCCCUAAUUAAUUACGCACAGAUGGUCCAAAGGGUUCAUUCAGCAGGAGAACCUCAGGCCUAGCAGCCGGUGCGAGCCCUGCAGCAGGAACAUGCAGAGAGAAAUGAGGCGGGAAGAACUGGCUCACAUGUUGCUGGAUAAUGUCUCUUGAGAAGGCCCUGGACUGCUGAGACCUCUCCAUUGCCCAGUCCAUAGUCAGAGAGGCCCCAGUAUCCCCAUACUGCCAACCAAGAGCUCUCUGCAUUGCAACAGUAACUCGUGCCCCAGCGCUUGCUCCCCCUAAACGUCUUGGAAGUCUCCAUCUGACAGCCAUGUGUCUUCACACAGAGUCUGCUAUGCAGUGAGGAUUUAAUAAGUGACCAGUAAGCGAUAGGAUGAAUGUCUAUUUGUUGGAUUGUGCAGUGAGGAGGAUAAAGGUCUACAAUCUUCAUGGAUCUAAGAACCGUCUCUCAAUCAUCGUGAUAUUGUUAGCACCCUAGAGUUGUUCUUCAGUAAAUAGCGAAUAAAUGCAUUCCUCAGAGAAACAUCUUUCAAUGCCUUAAAAAUAAAUUAAAUUUUAUUGUUGAA
This is a long non-coding RNA of Sapajus apella (tufted capuchin), 666 nucleotides long. RefSeq lists it as uncharacterized. The transcript has 2 exons. The record is from RefSeq and is a predicted model, not a curated record. Lineage: Eukaryota; Metazoa; Chordata; Mammalia; Primates; Cebidae.